GCCAGGCAUGGUGGCGCAUGCCUGUAGUCCCAGCUACUCAGGAGGCUGAGGCAGGAGAAUCGCUUGAACCCAGGAGGCAGAGGUUGCAGUGAGCUGAGAUCGCACCACUGCACUCCAGCCUGGGCAACAAAGAGAGACUCUGUCUCAA
This 148-nucleotide non-coding RNA is filed under the name Homo sapiens (human). Lineage: Eukaryota; Metazoa; Chordata; Mammalia; Primates; Hominidae. The record is from Rfam by way of RNAcentral.